RNAcentral lists this ribosomal RNA (695 nucleotides) under uncultured bacterium. RNAcentral describes it as "bacterial SSU rRNA". It matches the Rfam family "Bacterial small subunit ribosomal RNA", at positions 32 to 715 of the family's 1533-position model. The record is from RNAcentral.
AACGCUAGCUACAGGCUUAACACAUGCAAGUCGCGGGGCAGCAUGAAGGAUGCUUGCAUCCUUUGAUGGCGACCGGCGCACGGGUGAGUAACGCGUAUCCAACCUGCCUGUUACCACGGCACAGCCCGUCGAAAGGCGGAUUAAUGCCGUAUGUGGUCCUUUGCGGGCAUCUAAUUAGGACUAAAGGUUCAGCGGUAACGGAUGGGGAUGCGUCCGAUUAGCUAGACGGCGGGGUAACGGCCCACCGUGGCUACGAUCGGUAGGGGUUCUGAGAGGAAGGUCCCCCACACUGGAACUGAGACACGGUCCAAACUCCUACGGGAGGCAGCAGUGAGGAAUAUUAGUCAAUGGGCGAGAGCCUGAACCAGCCAAGUAGCGUGAAGGAUUACUGCCCUACGGGUUUUAAACUUCUUUUAUAAGGGAAUAAAACGCUCCACGUGUGGAGCCUUGUAUGUACCUUAUGAAUAAGGAUCGGCUAACUCCGUGCCAGCAGCCGCGGUAAUACGGAGGAUCCGAGCGUUAUCCGGAUUUAUUGGGUUUAAAGGGUGCGUAGGCCGGCGUGUAAGUCAGCGGUGAAAAAGUUGGUGCUCAACAUUGACCCUGCCGUUGAUACUGCAUGCCUUGAGUGCGGAUAAGGAAGGCGGAACUCGUGGUGUAGCGGUGAAAUGCUUAGAUAUCACGAAGAACUCCGAUUG